Long non-coding RNA from Phyllopteryx taeniolatus (common seadragon), 2391 nucleotides. RefSeq lists it as uncharacterized. The record is from RefSeq and is a predicted model, not a curated record. The transcript is spliced from 3 exons. NCBI's taxonomy places the organism in Eukaryota, Metazoa, Chordata, Actinopteri, Syngnathiformes, Syngnathidae.
AUUUUUUUCGCCCGUAUAUGACAUAUAUUAAAGUUUUUUUUCAUGUCGAUGUGAACAGUACAAAUCAGAUUAUUUUUUUCUUUUUUUUUUCUCUCUCCUUUCCCCCUCCCCCACCAAAUUUGACCCAGGACUCUUUCAUAUGUGGACAUAAAUUGGAUAUGUAUCCAAUGUAACUGCAGUCUGGACACUCAGGUCAUGCUCCUCCGAACUAGACUUCAUCAAAUGGCGAUAAACGUCACAAUUGUUUGACAGGUUGUUAAACAGACAGGCGUGAAAAGUAACGCCGGCCAAAGGAGAAGUUAACAGUCAGUGGCAAAAAGGAUAUGCUUAAUAACUGAUAAAUACAAGAACAUUUUGGCUCCGGUUGCACAAAGUCCUUGAAAUUUACACAAAUGCGUCAGGACUGAGACCAACACAAGGGGCCAUAUUUAAUUACGUAAACACAAUGCGCCAUGUGACGUCGUGUUUUGUCUGCAUGGGAGUCACUUCAUGGACACAUUCCCUUUAGAUUAGAAGUCGCAUUUGUUUUCGUAAUGGGAAUGACUACAUAAAACAAUCGGGUUAAAAAAAAAAAUCAGAAUUGGGCAUCAUACCCCGCAGAAUAAAUGUAGCCAUCUAGAGAAGGGCAACCAUUUAGUCUCAUUUUCACAUAUGAGUGGGAACUGAAGCCAUGCUACCUGCACCGAAGUUAGGCGAAUGUAAGGGCAAAUAUACAAAUUACCUUGACUUGGCUCCCGACAUACUACUCCAGUAUUAUGUACAGUAUAGAGUGGUACCUUGACUUUAGAGUGCACAAACCUUUGGUUUUUCCAAGUUGUCGAUUUUUGCGUUGUGUUGCGAUCCAAAGUUUGACUUAUAAGCAAGCUUCACAUACGCUGCUAAUAGAUGGCGGCAGACACGUCAUCCGCCGAGCAUCCCGCAUCCAUCCAUCCAUCCAUUUUCUUCCGCUUAUCCUAUGUCGGGUUGGGCAGUAGCUUUAGCAGGGAAGCCCAGACUCUCCCCAGCCACUUCCUCUAGCUCUUCCUAUGGGAUCCCAAGGCGUUCCCAGGCAAGCCAAGAGACGUAGUCUCUCCAGCGUGUCCUGGGUCGUCCCCGGGGUCUCCUCCUGGUGGGACGUGCCCGGAACACCUCACCAGGGAGGCAUCCAGGAGGCAUCCUAAGCAGAUGCCUGAGCCACCUCAUCUGGCUUCUCUCAAUGAGGUGGUGAGCCCAUGGGAAAGGGGCCCACGUUACUCUUUCGGGCUGUGCCCGGCCCAUGGGCCCCAUGGGUGCAGGCCCCACCUCCAGGCCUGGCUCCAGAGGGGGGCCCCAGUGACCCGCGUCCGGGCAAGGGAAAAGGUCUUCCUGAAUUUUUUAACAUCAUAGGGUUUUUUGGAGCUGUGCUUUGUCUGGUCCAUCACCUAGGACCUGUUUGCCAUGGGUAACCCUGCCAAGGGCAUAAAGCCCCCGACAACUUGACUCCUAGGAUCAUUGGGACAAACAAACCCCUCCACCACGAUAAGGUGACAGCUCAAAGAGGGGGCAUGCCACAUCUACCUCACAAUUUGAGAUGUUCCGAAGAGCACAGUAACCUCCGUAAUCCUUAAAUGGAAGACAUUUGGGAUGACCAAGACUCUUCCUAGAGCUGGCCAUUCAACAAAACUGAGUGAUCGGGUGAGAAGAACUUUGGUGAGAGUGGUAAAGAAAAAAACAAAGGUCACUGUGGCUGAGCUCCAGAGAUGCAGGUAUGGGAGCAAGUUCUAGAAAGUCAUCCAUUAAAUUUAAAGCUUAGCAGAGUUGUAAGCGACCUGUCCUGUGUGGGAUAAGCUUUUUGCAAAGUCAGUUCAUGUCAAGGGUUAGAGGAAAUGAAUCACUUGCUUGUCUUUCUUCCUGCUGGUGUCUGUGCUGUGUCAGCUUAGUUGAAGAUCUAGCUUGUGUUCCUUCCCUGACAAUAGGCAUUUUGCUGACAUGCAUGAUGUGGAAAAAAGGUAAAACAAAAACACAGUGGCAUAAAAGAUGUUACAGCACUUGAGGAACAAUAAGAAACAAUAGUUUACUACGUGAUGACUAUUUCUCAUGUUUUUAGAUAUCUUUGCUAUGAAGAAAUCGUUUCGUUUCAUUGUCGCUCAACCAAGUACAUUUUACCAAAACAAUCGUCAAGUCAGUCACUGAUAGUCUAGUGGUUCACCCUCCUGACUUCCUUGCUGGCGGCGUGGUUUCAUAUCCCACAGCUGUCUACAUGUGACAGAUGAUUUCUGGCAACCAGUCCAGUGUGAGUCCCCUUUUAACUGCAAUGGGCUCCAGUUCCUCUUGAACAUGAACAGGAUAACCAGUAGAGAAAAUGCAUUGAUAGUCAAGUCUUCCAAGUCCAGUCUUUUUUUCACAUUUUCCAUCCCCAGGCUUUUUCCAGAG